CGAAAGGAGUAUUCCGUACUCUUCAACCCUUUGUGAACCUACCAUUGUCAGUUGCUUCGGCGGGAGGCCCCUGGGAGGGGCCCCGGGGCCCGGCCUGAGCCGGGUUCCCGCCGGAGGAGCGCAAACCAAAACUCUUGUUGUACCUCAGUGGCACCUCCGAGUCAAAACAAAUAAACAAGUUA
This 182-nucleotide unclassified non-coding RNA is filed under the name uncultured Microthyriaceae. RNAcentral's name for it is "sequence contains ITS1". Lineage: Eukaryota; Fungi; Ascomycota; Dothideomycetes; Microthyriales. The record is from RNAcentral.